Molecule: small nucleolar RNA, 138 nt
Filed under: Ornithorhynchus anatinus (platypus)
Lineage: Eukaryota; Metazoa; Chordata; Mammalia; Monotremata; Ornithorhynchidae
Source: RNAcentral
UUCCUCUCAGGAUCUCACCUGGAGAGUUUCCAGUCCUCUACCAGUCCCAACUAUGGGAGGGAGAGUCAAGCAGAGGUAUACCCAUUCCAUUCCCAACUUGGGCAGUGGCUAGCGAGUGGAAGGCAAUCCGCUACAAGU